RNAcentral lists this small nuclear RNA (104 nucleotides) under Chinchilla lanigera (long-tailed chinchilla). The record is from RNAcentral. Lineage: Eukaryota; Metazoa; Chordata; Mammalia; Rodentia; Chinchillidae.
GUACUUGCCUCACCAGCACAUACACUAAAACUGGAACGAAACAGAGAUUAGCAUGGCCCCUGCGCAAGGAUGACACACAAAUUCGCAAAGCAUUCCACAUUUUA